GAUGAACGCUAGCUACAGGCUUAACACAUGCAAGUCGAGGGGCAGCACAAGGCAGCAAUGCUGAGGUGGCGACCGGCGCACGGGUGCGUAACGCGUAUCCAACCUUCCCGUUACUCUUGGAUAGCCUUCCGAAAGGGAGAUUAAUACAAGAUGGUGUUGAAAUUCCGCAUGUUAUUUCAACUAAAGAUUUAUCGGUAACGGAUGGGGAUGCGUGACAUUAGAUAGAUGGCGGGGUAACGGCCACCAUGUCCACGAUGUCUAGGGGUUCUGAGAGGAAGGUCCCCCACACUGGAACUGAGACACGGUCCAGACUCCUACGGGAGGCAGCAGUGAGGAAUAUUGGUCAAUGGCCGGAAGGCUGAACCAGCCAAGUAGCGUGAAGGAUGAAGGUUCAUGGAUUGUAAACUUCUUUAUGAGGGAAUAAAACCUCCACGUGUGGGAGCUUGUAUGUACCUUAUGAAUAAGCAUCGGCUAACUCCGUGCCAGCAGCCG
RNAcentral lists this ribosomal RNA (492 nucleotides) under uncultured bacterium. RNAcentral describes it as "bacterial SSU rRNA". It matches the Rfam family "Bacterial small subunit ribosomal RNA", at positions 28 to 517 of the family's 1533-position model. The record is from RNAcentral.